AAAUGAAUAGACGGGGACCCGCACAAGCGGUGGAUGAUGUGGAUUAAUUCGAUGCAACGCGAAGAACCUUACCUACCCUUGACAUGUCUGGAAUCCUGAAGAGAUUCGGGAGUGCCCGAAAGGGAAUCAGAGCACAGGUGCUGCAUGGCUGUCGUCAGCUCGUGUCGUGAGAUGUUGGGUUAAGUCCCGCAACGAGCGCAACCCUUGUCAUUAGUUGCUACGCAAGCGCACUCUAAUGAGACUGCCGGUGACAAACCGGAGGAAGGUGGGGAUGACGUCAAGUCCUCAUGGCCCUUAUGGGUAGGGCUUCACACGUCAUACAAUGGUCGGUACAGAGGGUUGCCAACCCGCGAGGGGGAGCUAAUCCCACAAAGCCGAUCGUAGUCCGGAUCGUAGUCUGCAACUCGACUACGUGAAGUAGGAAUCGCUAGUAAUCGCGGAUCAGCAUGUCGCGGUGAAUACGUUCCCGGGUCUUGUACACACCGCCCGU
RNAcentral lists this ribosomal RNA (490 nucleotides) under uncultured bacterium. Its description in RNAcentral is "bacterial SSU rRNA". It matches the Rfam family "Bacterial small subunit ribosomal RNA", at positions 903 to 1397 of the family's 1533-position model. The record is from RNAcentral.